GUCUACAGCCAUGCCACCCUGAACAAGCCCGAUCCCGUCUGAUCUUGGAAGCUAAGCAGGAAGCUAAGCAGGGUUGAGCCUGGUUAGUACUUGGAUGGGAGACCACAUAGGAAGACCAGAUGCUGUAGACA
Pteropus alecto (black flying fox) is the source of this 131-nucleotide non-coding RNA. The record is from Rfam. Lineage: Eukaryota; Metazoa; Chordata; Mammalia; Chiroptera; Pteropodidae.